GUAGGGUGCAAGCGUUAAUCGGAAUUACUGGGCGUAAAGCGUGCGCAGGCGGUGAUGUAAGACAGAUGUGAAAUCCCCGGGCUCAACCUGGGAACUGCAUUUGUGACUGCAUCGCUAGAGUACGGCAGAGGGGGAUGGAAUUCCGCGUGUAGCAGUGAAAUGCGUAGAUAUGCGGAGGAACACCGAUGGCGAAGGCAAUCCCCUGGGCCUGUACUGACGCUCAUGCACGAAAGCGUGGGGAGCAAACAGGAUUAGAUACCCUGGUAGUCCACGCCCUAAACGAUGUCAACUGGUUGUUGGGUCUUCACUGACUCAGUAACGAAGCUAACGCGUGAAGUUGACCGCCUGGGGAGUACGGCCGCAAGGUUG
This 369-nucleotide ribosomal RNA is filed under the name uncultured bacterium. RNAcentral's name for it is "bacterial SSU rRNA". It matches the Rfam family "Bacterial small subunit ribosomal RNA", at positions 527 to 896 of the family's 1533-position model. The record is from RNAcentral.